UGGAGGAAUAUUGGUCAAUGGGCGAGAGCCUGAACCAGCCAAGUAGCGUGAAGGAUGACUGCCCUAUGGGUUGUAAACUUCUUUUAUAAAGGAAUAAAGUCGGGUAUGGAUACCCGUUUGCAUGUACUUUAUGAAUAAGGAUCGGCUAACUCCGUGCC
This 158-nucleotide ribosomal RNA is filed under the name uncultured bacterium. Its description in RNAcentral is "partial 16S ribosomal RNA". It matches the Rfam family "Bacterial small subunit ribosomal RNA", at positions 354 to 509 of the family's 1533-position model. The record is from RNAcentral.